Molecule: unclassified non-coding RNA, 218 nt
Filed under: soil metagenome
Description: partial contains 5.8S ribosomal RNA, internal transcribed spacer 2, and large subunit ribosomal RNA
Source: RNAcentral
AACGCACGAGACCUGCGGACCUGCGGAGGGAUCAUUACUGAGUUUCACAACUCUCUAACCCUGUGUGAACUGAAGUCUGGUUGCUCAGGCAGGCGGCCCCCGGGGGGAGCCGCAGCUUCUCUGAAGCGCCUGCCGGAGGAUACCUAAACUCGUUUUAACAUAUAAUCUUCUGAGUAAUAAAAAAAAAAAUGAAUCAAAACUUUCAACAAUGGAUCUCU